Molecule: ribosomal RNA, 426 nt
Filed under: uncultured Paenibacillus sp.
Lineage: Bacteria; Bacillati; Bacillota; Bacilli; Caryophanales; Paenibacillaceae
Description: bacterial SSU rRNA
Rfam family: Bacterial small subunit ribosomal RNA
Source: RNAcentral
UAGGGAAUCUUCCGCAAUGGGCGAAAGCCUGACGGAGCAACGCCGCGUGAGUGAUGAAGGUUUUCGGAUCGUAAAGCUCUGUUGCCAGGGAAGAACGUCUUGUAGAGUAACUGCUACAAGAGUGACGGUACCUGAGAAGAAAGCCCCGGCUAACUACGUGCCAGCAGCCGCGGUAAUACGUAGGGGGCAAGCGUUGUCCGGAAUUAUUGGGCGUAAAGCGCGCGCAGGCGGCUCUUUAAGUCUGGUGUUUAAUCCCGAGGCUCAACUUCGGGUCGCACUGGAAACUGGGGAGCUUGAGUGCAGAAGAGGAGAGUGGAAUUCCACGUGUAGCGGUGAAAUGCGUAGAUAUGUGGAGGAACACCAGUGGCGAAGGCGACUCUCUGGGCUGUAACUGACGCUGAGGCGCGAAAGCGUGGGGAGCAAACA